Molecule: small nuclear RNA, 127 nt
Organism: Gorilla gorilla gorilla (western lowland gorilla)
Lineage: Eukaryota; Metazoa; Chordata; Mammalia; Primates; Hominidae
Source: Ensembl
GGAUUGUAUGAAAGGAGAGAAGGUUAGCACUCCCCUUGACAAGGAUGGAAGAGGCCCUUGGGCCUGAUGACACGCGUAUAGUUAAGGUACUGCCACCUACAUCGUGGCAUCUAAACAUCAUUUUUUU